UCUACUCCUACGGGAGGCAGCAGUGGGGAAUAUUGCACAAUGGGCGCAAGCCUGAUGCAGCGACGCCGCGUGAGGGAUGACGGCCUUCGGGUUGUAAACCUCUUUCAGUAGGGAAGAAGCGUAAGUGACGGUACCUGCAGAAGAAGCGCCGGCUAACUACGUGCCAGCAGCCGCGGUAAUACGUAGGGCGCAAGCGUUAUCCGGAAUUAUUGGGCGUAAAGAGCUCGUAGGCGGUUUGUCGCGUCUGCCGUGAAAGUCCGGGGCUCAACUCCGGAUCUGCGGUGGGUACGGGCAGACUAGAGUGAUGUAGGGGAGACUGGAAUUCCUGGUGUAGCGGUGAAAUGCGCAGAUAUCAGGAGGAACACCGAUGGCGAAGGCAGGUCUCUGGGCAUUAACUGACGCUGAGGAGCGAAAGCAUGGGGAGCGAACAGGAUUAGAUACCCUGGUAGUCCAUGCCGUAAACGUUGGGCACUAGGUGUGGGGGACAUUCCACGUUUUCCGCGCCGUAGCUAACGCAUUAAGUGCCCCGCCUGGGGAGUACGGCCGCAAGGCUAAAACUCAAAGGAAUUGACGGGGGCCCGCACAAGCGGCGGAGCAUGCGGAUUAAUUCGAUGCAACGCGAAGAACCUUACCAAGGCUUGACAUGAACCGGAAAGACCCUGAAACCACG
RNAcentral lists this ribosomal RNA (670 nucleotides) under Arthrobacter sp. RNAcentral describes it as "bacterial SSU rRNA". It matches the Rfam family "Bacterial small subunit ribosomal RNA", at positions 332 to 1010 of the family's 1533-position model. The record is from RNAcentral. Lineage: Bacteria; Bacillati; Actinomycetota; Actinomycetes; Micrococcales; Micrococcaceae.